CUUUAUUACAAUACCUUAUUAACAUACUUCUUUAAUCAUUUCAAUCUUGUACAAGUUAAUGUAAAUUUCUGAAAGCAAAAGGUGGUAUCGCAUGCAUUCUGCCAGAAGGUGGAGCUCCAGGAACCAUCCUAGUUCAGUCUCAGUUCAGUUGUUUAAAAACAGAGCAGACAUACAUUGAGUCAGUCAUACUCAGAGAGAGAACUGUAAGUCUUGACUCUCAAAGUCAUUGUCUCUCAUUAGUGCAGAUGUUGCCCCUCGUAUUCAUUAUAUUUUCUCUCCUAAAAGAGACUGCUGGUGAAGAUGUCAUAAAACCAGUCUCCACACAGAAGCAGGUUUUGGAAGGAAAAGAUGUUACACUGAUCUGCAACUACACCGAAGCUGUUCAAAAUUUACAAUGGUAUCGUCAGUAUCCCGGAUCCAAACCUGAGCACCUCAUCACGUUCUUUGAGACCACACAGAGCACGACAGAGGACGCUCUCCGUCUGACCGCUGCGGCUGAUAAAGCAGCUAAAAGUAUGACUCUGACGAUCUCUUCUACAGAAGUGAAAGACUCUGCCAUGUACUACUGUGCCCUGGUGCCCACAGUGACAGGAAACACAACUACACUGUACAAAAACAGAGUGAGAAAGGAUAUUUAAGACAGAAGACGAUGCACAAUGCAGAUUUUAAAACUACACUCUUUAUAAAGUGGACAAUCAAUUGUUACCUUUCGGAAUAGUUUCUAAACCCAUGUACAGUACAACUGGUAGUGUCCUCACCAUUAAUAUUAUCAGACCACUUCUUAAUACAGAUAUGAAAAGCAACAUAAAUGUUUGAAACAUUUAAUAUCUGUACAGUGCCAUUGCAAUGUUUGUAUAAUAUCAGCUUAUUUAUAUAUUGUCUGCACUUGUAGGGUAAAAUAAGCAUAGGUAUGUAUGGGAGGAGCUUAGGAUUUUGUCAACUUCAGUGGAAGAAAUCAAAAAGACAACACUGACUUUCUUUCAUACAGAUCCUGAUAGAAGUCUCAACUCAAAAGAAACAGAAGCAUGUUACUCAUCUCAUCCGUUUUCAUUUUAAUCCUCAGUUACUGUGAAUCUAAUGGAAAUGUCAUCAGACCAAACCAGCCGUCUGUAGUUUUAACUGAAGGAAGCAGCACCACUCUGUCCUGUUCAUAUGAUCGAUCAGCUUACAGUCUUCACUGGUAUCGACAGAAGCCUGGAUCAAAACCAGAGUUUCUGCAGCUGAUUGUUGAGUCUUCCAAGUAUGUCAACAAAGCUGACCAACCUCAUCCACAUAUGUCCAUCAGACUCCAUGAUAAUAAAAGUGUGGAUCUGGAGAUCUCCUCUGCUGGUGUAUCAGACUCUGCAGUGUAUUACUGUGCUCUGGAGCCCACAGUGACAGGAAACCCCUCUACACUGUACAAAAACCUUCUUGUUAUCUGCCUGAUGAACAAUCAUAUUUCUCUACCAUGAUCUCUGUGAUAUUCCAUUUUGCUGAUGAUCUGAAUAUGGCAUUUAA
Long non-coding RNA from Cyprinus carpio carpio, 1497 nucleotides. The record is from Ensembl. NCBI's taxonomy places the organism in Eukaryota, Metazoa, Chordata, Actinopteri, Cypriniformes, Cyprinidae.